Catharus ustulatus (Swainson's thrush) is the source of this 10954-nucleotide long non-coding RNA. RefSeq lists it as uncharacterized. The record is from RefSeq and is a predicted model, not a curated record. Lineage: Eukaryota; Metazoa; Chordata; Aves; Passeriformes; Turdidae. The transcript has 5 exons.
UCCGACCUCGCUGCUCCUGCAGGGUCAUCUUAAACCCCAUGGCACAGGAUUACAUUCAAGACUGCUCUUGAAUAUACUCAGGGAGAGAGACAACACAGCCUCUGGACAAUCUGCUCCAGUGCUUGGUUGCAUGCACAAUAAAUUUCUUCCUCGUGUUGAGGUGGAACUUCCUGAGCAUCCAUUUCUGCCCAUUGUGUCUUGUUCUAUUGCUUGGCAGCACCAAGAGGAGUCUGGCUCCAUUCUCUUGACACCCUCCCUCCAGAGACUGAAUUUCAUUGAUGAAGUCCCUUCUCAGUCAUCUCUUGUGGCUGAAUAGGCCCAGCUCUCUCAGCUUUUCCUCAUAAGAGAAAUGCUCCAGUCCCUUCGUCAUCUGUGUAGCCUCUGCUGGGGAUCCUCUCCAGGGGCUCCAUGCCUCUCCUGCACUGAGGAGCCCAGAACUGGACACAGCAUGCAGGUGUGGCCUCGCCAGGGCUGAGGGGCAGGAUCACCUCCUGCCUGCUGGCAAUGCUGUUCUUCCUGCUGAGAGCACCUGCUUUCUUGGGACAUCCUCACCACAGCCCCCUCACGGCCUUCCCAGGGCAGGAACAGAUCCCUGGAAAGGAAGAAGGCUCUGGGUUCUGCAGCCCCUCUCUGGGGACAGUGUGCGGUGGGACCUGCCUGGGCAGGACCCUGAUCCUCUCAGAUCCUGCAUGCUCAGUGAUGCCACUCACAGCUGCGUUUGCUGCUUCUCCCCAGCCCAUGAAAAAGCUUCUUUGAUGUGACAUUUAAUAGAAGAAAAGAGAAUCUAAGUACAAGGGCUUUCAGUUCCGUGUGCUUGAAAUGUGAGUCACAGAAUCGCCACUCCCCAGCCCUGCCUGAUUACACUGCUCUGGGAUGUGCUCAGCAGCCACAUCUGAUAUAGGACACACAGCAGGAAGACAGAGAGAAGGGCAUUUCCAAGGGACACACCUGCUGCAGGACAGUGCUACUAGAAGGCAUUUUCCCUUCUACACCUAUGCAGGGUCUUCAUCCUUCUCCUGGCCUACCUGCAGCGGUUUGGUUGGAAGUGUAUUCUGUGUAGUGGUAGUAAAGAGCCUCGAGAGACCUGCCCUCAGCAAAUAUGCUGGCUGUGUUAUUCACUGAGCUGUAGCUUAGAUUGCCCUGGUAACACAGCUCUGCCAACAUAAGGCAGCUGGGAGCACUUUGGUAAUUCUGUAAUCACAAAUGUCAGACCAGGUCAGGAGUCUCCAAACAGUUUGGACCACUGGAGUGUAGUCAACUCCGAAAACUUAUUGUACCCUGUUAUUAAAAUUCUACAUAAAACCAUGUUUUCAUAUGAUUCUAUAGAGUCCCUCCCACUGGCUCAUGGGGCACUCUAAGGAAACCACUGGCCAAAAUUCUGCAAUUGUAACUAACUUGAGGUACCAUUAAAGAGACUCUGUCUAAGUGUCCUCACCUUUCUGUGUGUGAAUCAGUUUUCCAGUGGUAGAGCAUAGACAGUGAUGUAUAUUAGAUAUGCAAUUCAAGAGCCCAGUGUUCAUAGUUAUUACGCACCUGCUGACUUAAAGCACCAACUUAAAAGGACUGGGAAGUAACCUUAAAACAAGCACAGUGCUAGACCCAUGUUAAAGUAAUUUUCUUGGGUAAUUUUCUUUAUGAAAAGUGACACCAAGGUCAUGUUUCUCACACAUGACUGCAAAGUGUUAUUGGUGAAGAACUGGUAGGCAGAAGUUUCUAAGGUCCCUGAAGCAGAAAGCACAAGCACAGAGUUUACUGCAAAUCUAGGAAACUCAUACUUGCUUAUUACUCUUUUAAUAUUUUUGUUCUCAAAAUAAUACUGAUUUUUAUAUAACCAGGGAUGUUAAUAUGGCUCUUUGUAAAUUAUUUUUGCACUUGGGGGAAGAGAUAAUAAAGGGAGUGUUUGAGAAAUGUCUGUUCUGAGAAAAUGCCUGUUAGUUAAGAUAGUAGGUAAACAGCACUAUAAUUAAAGGACUCAAACACUUUUGAAGUUGCUGAGGAAAUGUGUGACAAAUAUCAUCAAGAAUGUGGUUCAAAGGACCACAUUCAUAUGGUUCAUAUCUCUAAGACACACAGGGGAAGCAAAAUUCUGAUCCCAUGCUAGUUGGGUACCUGGCUUCAGCUGAAUCAAAUUUACCCUGCUGUCAGAUGUCCGCACUGGGUAACUUUUCUUGCUUUAUCUGGGAUAUUGAGAAAAGAUCACUGUGGGAUCAGGGCAGAGGAGCCUGAAACAGGUCAUAAAAAGGGCCACGAAAGAUGAGGUUAAUAAGAUGACCAAAAAGAAGUUUAAGAGAAAAAAACCCCCAAACUCCAUAGUGCCAUCAGAGCUUUUGUUCUUGCUCUUGUCUCCUUAGUACUCUCUUCUCCUUUCCUUUUCCCUUUAAGCUUCACAAAAACCAUUCCAGUUUGGCCAGUUAAAUGAUGCUGAAUAUGGUUUAUCAUUGUUAGUAAUUAAAUAAAACUGAAUUCUUAGGUACAUUCAUAGUUUAUUUUGUUGGCUGGUUGGGUUUUUAAAAUUUAUUUGUGUUGUGUUCACAAAUACAGGUAAAAAAAAAAAAAGAGUGGAAGGCAUAAAUAGUUAUGCAGAGUGGAAUUGGAUUUCUGGAUUGUAUGGAAGACUCCUCCAAGACGGCUGACUGGGAAGAUUGAGACACAGGCAUCACUACCAGAACAUUUCAUUCUGGAACAGUACAGAAACAACCUCCCACACAAUAAAGCACAGGAGGACUGUAAACAAGAUAAGAUCUGACACUACAAGAUCUUGGGCUACCUCCCUCAGGAAGAGCAGGUAGCCUGUUCGGCCAGCAAGAAGCACCAAGUGAUGGGAAAGGGAAAAAAAAUCAAAGAAAAAAAAAAAUCUCCUUUGGAUCAUGACAGCCAGGUCACGGCUGGUUUAUAAACAGCUGCAAAAAAGCCAUCUUAAGGGCAGUUUAACCAACUGCAGACUUUGGCACAGCAAGCUCAUGUCAUAUGUAUACAAGGUAUGAUAAUGGAGAAAUAGCACAGUGCUGCACUUCCACAGUCUUGCAGAUGAGUUGUAUGGGGUAACAUUAAAACUGGGCAAUAGAGUAUAUUAUUCCUAAAACUGCUUCUUUGAGCCCUUCUUCUCAAGUCUUGCUUCUAUUCACGCAUCAACUGCACCAAGCAGACGUCUCAUGCAGCUGAGGAAGCAGUGCUGAAUUCCAGGCAGAGCAGAUGGCAAGUCAGGUUUAAAGGUUUCAUCUAAAAGACCAACAUAAUGAUAUAGGACUCUAUGGCAUUCAAUUAAUCAGUGCUUGCAAGGUGAUGGAAUCAAGAAUAAUAGGAUUUAUUUGUCACCCUGGGAGAUGUAUUUUCCAUAUUUUUUUAUCCUUGUUGUCAGUCAUGUGAUUGCAUGACUAGUGGGGAAUCAGAGACAACUCCAAUGGAAAAGAGAAAUUAGGUCAUCUGGUCCAUCCUUGCUGCCAGGACAUGACUGAUUCCCUGCAGUGGAUCCCUUCCCACACAGUUACCUUUCCAACCAUCUUUUAGAAGAUGGAAAUGCAAUUCAGAGUCCCAUUUGGCUAUGGCUUCCAGAGCUUUUGAGGACUUUUUUUUUUGGCCAAGAAUGCUUAAUGAAAGAAUCAGAUCUAACAAUUUUAAAUUCAUUUCAAAGAGAAAAAAGUAAAUCUCAGAAUUUAAUUCUCAAUAAAAACUUUUUAUAGAAAAAUUGCACAAUGUGUAGAUAAUUUGGGACAUUGUUUUCAUUAGACAGGAAAUAGUUUCUGUGACUCAAUUCUAUCAAUUAAAUAAUAGGUUUUCUGCUAAAAUGAUCAAGCAACUAAUUCAGUAAGUAGUUUAGGAAGCAUCCAGUACUCGUGCUACUCUGAGCAAACCAUCAUCAGGAGACCCAGCAUCAGUGCUAGCUGACUGAAAGGAUUCCAGGUGGCCUUGAAAAAUUACUCCAAGGGCUUGGAUCCUUAUCCUUCAGCAGAACAUCUCAACAGGCAAACACUCAGACUGUAUAGAGCAGGACUGGUUAUUAAGGCAAAAAAGUUAAUAAACACAAAUGGAAAAACAGUGAUAGAACUUACACAUAGGGAAAUAGCACACUACUUCCCUUAUGGCAGCUUUAGCAUGACUUCCAUGAUGCCUGCAAAUGCAAACAACCCCCAUCUUUUACCACUAAAUCACCGUGCUCAUUGAAUAAAUCCAGUAUUUGAGUUAAUAAGUGGCAGCCCAAGUGUUUCCCUAAGGUUGGUGUCCCUUCUCAAAGGACCCAUUUGUUGUUUUUUUUUUUUAACCUGGAGAUGUGACCAUGUAGUUUGGUUUAAGGCUUGAUUCAUUUUCUGAAGUUAGGUGGAGAUUCUCCAAACUCUACUCAGCCUCAAUGGAUCACUUCCUUUGGCUACCAAAUUCUCAUCCUCCUUUGCCUUCUCAUACUUACCUACAUAAUUUCUUGAUGUUUUUAGAACCAUCAUCCUUCACUAGAGAACUUUGCUUGAACUUUACCAUGCAGCAAUAUUCUCACCAGAGAGGAUUCAAAAACACUUAAGGAACUUCCAUAGAAACUCAGCAGUUCAGAAACAAGUUCAUCAUGACAUAGGGAGUAAUGUCUUCUAUAGAUCAUCUCUGAAAAGAUCACAACCACUGCAAACUCAAGUACAAGUGCAUGUGGUUGCUUGUUAUGUCUCACCAGAGAAAUCCUAAGAUUUUCUUGAUAAAAAUGCGUUUUUUCCCUCUCCAACAGAGGAAGAAUGCUCUCAGGUGCUCCAGAAUUCUGGAAUGAAACAGGUUACUCUUUCCAGUUGCCUUGUUAUAUCUUUAAAUUAAUCCACGUAGCUUUUCCUUUUUGUCCCCAGAAGAACUGCAAAGACACUGCAGGCUUUUUCCAUCUCUGCUAUAAACUCUGAAGUCAUUGUCAAAUUCUUAAUAUCCUUCUUGUCUUUUAAAGCACAUGAAAACACUGCAUUUUAUUCCUUUACAUAAAUAAUUUUUACCUUGUCUUAAUUUAAAUGGGCUUCAUCCCAUGAUUUUAGGUAGCCAUUGCAGUUACCAAAGAUUGUCCAAAAUUCAUCAUUCAUGAAAGGGUCAGCAUGCCAGGUGGGAGUUCCCAGGGUUUGGAUAUGCAUUGUGUACGCCAUGCUCCCCAUGACAGGGCUGUGGAGUUUUACUGUAAUAACAUUAAUGAUUCGAUCCAUGGCAACAUGACAAUUUUCCUUGGCUUUGUUGCAGUAACAGAUUUCUAGAUUGCGCUUGAUGAGGAAAGAUGUGGUUACUAACAGAAGAACACACUGAAUUAUAGACCUUUUGUGGGUGUAGCAAUUUCCUACUGUUAGAGAAAAACAAAACAUUCCAGUAUUGCAAAUCCACUAAACAGUCAACUUGUUUUCUUUCCUGUUACUUUUCUUACUGCACCACUUAAUCCUAGUGAUUUAUUAAUUAGUAGUAAGGCCUGCCUGGUUUUCUGAGCAAGUGAAAUUUACAAGUGAAAUUUAGAAAGUCAAGGAAUGCAAUAUGAAGCCCCAGGAUGCUGAUACGUAUCUCAUAUUUGUAGUUGGAUGGGGGAAAAAAAAGUUACAUUUGGAAAGCUUGAGCACCUUUUAAAAAUUAAAGUGCCUUUAACAAGAAUGAUUCACCAUUUCUCCUCCAGUUCUAACUGGACAAAAAUAUUUGCAAUUGACUCAACAACCAAGACAGAUAGGUAAGCAACAUUUCCUUUUUUUCUUUUAAGACAGUGAACUAACAAGUGAGACAUUUUAUAAAGAGCAGCCAUUUGGAAAAAUGAAGUUAUGUUCAUUUCUUUCAAAUGUCAAUACCCAUGCUGUUAAAGAUCAUUCUAUUUGGCAACCAAUACAAUUCCUUCUUCCUCAGCUGUUUUUUCUCCUUUGCAAUAGAUUCUUUGUAGAUGCACUCCAAAACAAAUUGCUUCUCUUACCAGCCAAAUUAUCACUGACAAAUUAACUAUUGCAGACCAUCAAUGAACUGAAUCCUCACUAAAAUCAGCCAAGCCUUGAGGAAAAGGAUGUGCAGCAUCCACCUCUGAAAACCAAUUACUGUUACAGAUGUAUUGAAGUUCUGCACAAUGUACUAUCCCUGCAUACCACAAAAUGGUCCUGGAGCACUCUGUUAAUCUAAGAUUCCUCUUGAUGCAGAGCUGCUGACAGCAGAAUGCUACAAGAUUUAACUAACAGGCAGCACUGACACAAAAAUAAGUGGGUAGAAACCAGCUAAGAGAGCUUCUAUUUGGAUUUCUAGCAAUCAGCAGGAUGAGGACCUGGAACAAGCUUCCAGUACCAAAGGAAGAAAAGAAUCUAAUACCAGCCUGAUAAACAUACUGUGUAGUGCCUGUGAUGGCAGUGAGUGGGAUGUGAUAUCUAGGGGGUGUCCUCCAGACUUAUUUUAAGAACAUAAACCACAGCAUAAGUUGUUCCACUUCGAAGCAGAAGUCUUAAUUACGCUGGCACACUUAAGGCUAUAUCUUCCAUAGGAACCAUUUAUAUUGUUAUUUCUCCAAAUUUGUAUUUUUUAUUAUUUAUCAAAACUACUGGUUUUGAAUGGAGCAGCAUAUGCAGAGAUAUAAACAUCUUUUCAGCCUUGACCACACACCAGACCUUCAUGCAUGACAUCCCUCACUUUUAAGUGACAAAGGAUCCUAACUCCUUUCCACUCUGGAGGCAAUAACAAGAGACAGCAGUGUUUGCAUUCAGUACAUUCAGACAGGCUCUAGUUUUCUUAUUCUCCUGCCUUAAAACACUUUCAGCAAUGAUCAUCUCACUGUAUCUUCUCCCCUCUGGGAUCCUAACACACCUGGCACCUGGGUGCAGACCAUCCCCUCAAGAAUUUUCAAUGUGCAAGAGAUGAGAGCAAUUUGUGCCUUUGAGCAUCUCUCCACCACCACCCAGUGUCCCAGCCCUCACUCCAGAGACUUAGGACAGGGCAGAAAGGAAGAGCAAUGCAAGGACAGCUGGAGUAAAGCAGAGCAGGAGAGUAACCAAAUCAUUAGAAACACAUUUGUAGUAAUGGAAAUUUCAUAGUGAAGUAGCUUUGAACUUGGCUGCUAAAUAAUGCAAACAGGCCUAGCAAAAGUCCAAAUUCUGUUUCCCGGUAAGCAUUAUUGAAACUGUCACCGAUGGUAUAAAACUUGAGGGCAGGGACAAAAUGGAGUAUCAAAAAUUGGGUCAGUUAAAUUUGCUCUAGCUGCAAUUCCACUGUAUACAGACUUUUGGUGAUGCUCUGGUACUCCUUGAGAAGUCCCUCUUGUUCCUCCUACUGAUGCAACUGUCAACCAUCUCUCAAACCACAAACCUUAACAGCAAUAAGCUGGCACGAGUUUCCACUUGACACAAUGCUUAUUGAGCACUAAUACUUAUAUGAGGCAUUUUGGCACAGCUGUAUCUUAACAUGUAUCUGUACUUUGAAGUGUUCAAAUAUGUUUUAUGUGGGUGCUUAUUCUAUGUUUGCAUAAAACUCUACUGAAGACCUGGUAUAUGAAAAUUGAAAACUAUGUUCUCAAGAUCCUGUAUUUAAACUGAUUAAUUCUAACAUUAAAAGUGAAUUAAGUCACCAGCCACUAAAACCUAUAAAAUCAUAUAGCAAGAUCUUGUUCAGACCAUUCAGUCUGAUCAAAUUAGCCCUAUAAAUGAAGUUCAAGUAACCUAUAUAUUGAAACCAAUGAAAUUAUGCUAACAGAACAAAGGCAGCCUUUUGUGUCAGCCUGGAUUUUUCAGAAGGGAUCAGAGUGGCAAAACCUUGACUCUGCCAUUUUAUAAUAGCCCAGAUAUUCUGUUCCCUCCUGCUUCAUGUUGGCAUAAUUUGUUCUAUGAAUAAACACAAGUAUUCUUUAAACCUCACUGGGCUGAUUCAUGCAUCCUAUACUACAGAAGCUCCAGUACCUCUUAACACAUGCACAAAAGCUCUUUGGAAGCCUUGAGUUAUAUGAAGAAUGCUAUAAAUACAGCGUUGUUACUGCUGUUACUGCUGAAACCAAACUACCACUCCCUGGAUGUCACGCACCAGAUUUCCCUGAGGAAUGCAAUUUAAGGAAUUAAUAGCAUAGAAACAUCUCUCUCUCAUUUUCCUCCUUUUUACAGGACUGGAAUGACUCUUUUAUUGUUUCCAACAGAUUUACAACAGAUUGGAAAUACCCAGCAUCUGCUCAGCAAUAACAUCAGCAGCCAUAUGUGAUUUGAAGCCAAGGCCUAAAAAAAGACCCACUCUCCUCACUCCAAACAGGUUUUGCAAACUGUCCUUUUGCUUCCAAAGUACAGGGAUUUUACAGUCACAACGACCAUGACAGGAAUGAGGAUUUAACUAAGCAAAGAGGUUGGACAACAAAGAAUAUGAUUUGCAGUAAGAAAGCUUAUGAGCCACUUCUAAUGGCAUUUACAGAAUCUCUGCUCAUGAAUUCUUAUACUGAUGUCAAUGCACAGAUCCUACACUAUAAACUGCCUUUAAACCAGUUUGCCUAUACAGAAAUACAAGUUUUUAAAACACUUGAUGUCACAGUUUCAGGCUACACUUUAUUAUCAGGUGUACUCAUGACCAUGUGGCAGAAGACAACAAAGCAUUCCUCUAGGAAGCUGGAGUCUCUGCAGUGUAGCAGAAAAUAUCAUGGCAGUAAUCCAAAGCUAGUACUAACAUUUCACCCUUCCCACUCAGGCAUUUUACACAGCUGAAAGCUGGCCAAGCUGUAAUUGCUGGAGAUUUCAGCAGUCGUGUCAUCUAGCCACACUCGCACAAAACAGGGCAGUUCUUGUUACACAAGUCUGGGAUUUCAGCUGCACAAUGGGAAUCUCACGUCUGUACUCUUCCAGUAACAUCUAGGAUAAAUUACAGUCUGCCCUUUUCCUACAUAUGAUGAUUUAUUGCCCAAGUUUACCUGGCAGGGAAAGACUCAGCAAAAGUAAUUUAGGGAAUUACAAUCCAUCCCUGUUCAUUUGUGGUAUUGUCCCCUUCCCCUACACAUUUAAUUUCUUAUUUCCUCCAAAAAAAUGCAAAUACUUGGCCAAAUUUUGGAAGUAACAAUGACGAGAGAUGCUGCUGUAUUCACUAUUAUUAAAAUUUAAAUGCUGAUGCUGCAGUUUCAAGACUAUUUUUCAUGUAAAAUGUAGAUGCAAUCAACAAGAGACAGCUAGAGUUUGCCCAGCUUGAUAAACAUCACAAAGCACAUUUAAUAAAUUAAGCUAUAACCUAGAUACAUGGCCCAGCUGUUGUUCCUGUAAGGAAAACUAACAACUCUCUCAACAAGAUGCAAAAGAAAAGAAACAAGAGAACAGUGUUAGCUGACAAUGUAGUGCAAGCUAAGACAGCAGCCAGAAGACAGCAAAGAAAGCAAACCCUUAAAUAAGCAGAUAAGGCUGACUGCUACAUGUCAGUACCCAAACAGCUUUACUAGAGAAUGGCAGUACUUAGGAGCUAAAACAGUCAUGAAACAAAUAAAGUAUCAGUAAGAAAUGUCUGGGUGAGGGGAAAUUACAAAACCAAAACACUGAUUAAGAAGCAUAUGAGUUUAUGUAGAGUCCUGCCACACAAUACUUUGACAGCAAUUCAAAGUGACUGCAUGAAGAAAAUGAAAUUGAUACAAUUUUUUUCAGAGUAAUGCAUGCCAAUUGAAGCACAGAAUCAGAACAGUUUUAUUGUAGGAACACUCAUUUUGCACACUCAAAGAAUGAAUAAAAACAUGGAAGGUGGAAGAAAAACCACCAGAAGCUUUCAAGGACUAGUAAUAUAUAUCCUUUUUCAUAAUCUGAUUUCUUGUCCAGCCACAACACUAACAAGAGUUAAGUAUUUUCAAAAACCCACCAACAUGGGAAAGUAAGAGGUAGAGAUUUAGGAAAAAAAAAAAAAAAAAACUCUUAAGGGAUCCAGAGAGGAAAAGAAAAAAGCAGAGGAACGUAUUGGUACAAAAAGCUUCAAAAAUGAGGGAAAACAGUAACACUAAAUGUAGUCUAAGAACAAGAGAAAGCAGAUCACGAUGUAGCAGCACACAAACUAACAUUCUAGAGCAGGACAAAUUCCUCUGCAUUACUAAACAUGUAGCUGGAACACUGUAAUGAGAUCCAUCAGGAAAAACACAAAAGAAUACAGCAGAACAUUCCAACAGAUUACAAAAAAUCUGCAUCAUUUAGAUGAGAAUAUCUGCAAGCCAUGAGAGAGUAUCAAAUUUGCUGGAUUUUCUUAGUUCGUUACUAAGGUGAAUCCAUUUCCUCUAGCAGGUUUAGAUAUUAAGAAGUCCACAUGUCAGAUUAACUAUGAAAAGUAAUCUGGGGUAUUUUUAAAAAUAAAUUCAUUCAAAAGCAGACUUUUAAGAAGUAUGCAAUAAAUUUAAGACAUUUCCAGCACAAGAUACUCACUUUUUAAAGUCCAGCCCUUAAGUUAUUAUAUGGAAUUGUUACAAGUCAGCAGUAGGUGGUUUAUAAAAUGUAAUUUUAUUUAAUGUUACUUUGCUGUUACAGAGGGCAUAACAUUUUCACAAGGCUUUUUUGGGACUACAAUCAAUGAUUAGCAACACACAAUAGUGGUCCAAACUCUCUAACAAUCACUGGACAAACUUGACACCUUCUCACAUGUGCACAAACCUGCAUGGAAAAGUACUAAAUUUUAUACUUGGACAUGUGAACUUCAAUUGGUUUUCCCAUUCCAGUGUAUUAAGAAAUGACAUGCACUUUAGUCUGCCAAAAAGCACUGCCUGUACUCCAGCAGUAACAUGCUGCUUCUAAUACAUAGUAAAGUGAAUACCAGAACUACAAAGGCAGGAGUGUAAGUGAACUUUUAUUGGGAAGGGAUAUCAACUUAAACAGCAGCAACUGAAGAUUAAGAGAAGCCCCUGUUUUUGAACACACAAGCUUCUGUAUUACAUGAUACGGGAAGCAACUCAAUUUAUGGUUUUCCAAACUUUAAAUGCUCAACUUGAUCUGGCCCAAAACUUCCAUAUUCCUACUGAAACAAAUACACAGUAGCAUGUGAAAGUCAAUUAUGGAAAGGAAACCCUGCAGAA